AUAAAGCUAGAUAACCGAAAGUAAAAACUACUUCAAGACUCGUCGAGGACUUGUUGACGACUGAUGACAUAUUAUUGAAUUCGCCCGAGGACCAGAUGUUAUUCAUACAACUCAUACUAAUCUAGAGACGAUGGAGAAGAGCUACGCAGAACUACAGGCUGCAGGUAGUAGAGGUCGAGAUGACAUCUGAGAUUUUGCUGUCCAUUGGACCCACAUAAGGUGCGAUGGAGAUCUCGUGGAUUGUGACUCAGAAAUAAAUGGCACAAUGUUUGGAUUCUUCAGGCUGAAGACGUCAAGGAUAUUCAGCUGAGCUCAAAGGUGACUGCGCUCUCUCCUUUCAAGCGUCAAAAUAUCUGCCAUCUUGUUAUACGGGCUAUAUUUUAUGAUUCCUGCGCUAUGGAUCAGCGGUCUUUGCCUCCUUUUUCUCAGUGAAUUCUCUAUGAACGGGUUUGUAUAUUUGAGUGACAUUGCCUCUGACAAAUGAUGAAGGAUGGAAGGAGACACAGGGAGACAUUCUCAGCUAAUGAAAUUGUCUGACCCACAUCUUUUAGUGCUAUCCAUUUCUCCAAAGACACAGAAAGGGCAUUUAUGCAGGUAAACCAUGACUGGUCCCUGAAGUGAAAGAGGGUUGUUUCUGAAGGAAGAGUAGCAUCCAUUAUUUACUAUACCAGGGUUGCUAGACACUUAGGGGGUAAUGCAGUGUUUCAAGCAUACAAAACAGAACCUUUUUGGUGCUGGUGAGGAUAUUGUUGUGUGUUUGGAACAUGUCUGUUUCCAUCCAUACUGACAGAUGAAAAAGAAUAUGUCUCCCGAAGGUUCAGAAGCAUGGGCGGAGAUAUAAAGAGCGAGUAGGGGAGGGACAGAAAUGAUGGUGGAGGGAUGUGUUUGUGUUUGUGUCUGUGUCAGUCAUCACUGCAAGCGGGCAUUUUUCGUAUUAACGUCCGUAUAUUUAUCUUUGACUGUUUUUGUGCACCAAGUCUGUUUGUUUGCAUACCUUUGUGUCCAAAGUCACCCCAGUCCUAGAUUAUAUAAUGCAAGUAGUCCUACACGUGUUUACACAUGUAUGUGUAUUAAUCAGGUUUCUCCUCAACUGAGUCUGUGUCACCUGCCUCUUGGUGCCAGUUGUGAUACUUUGGUUUAGUCGUACUCUCUGCAGAUCGGCAGCAGCAGCAGCAGUCCCCUCCUCAUGGAGAGUGGAAGCAUCUGACUAGAGUCCACUGGGAGUAGUUAGCAGAAGAAGUGCAAGACAUUCAACUAUUCCACCCUGUUAUCAGACUUGCGCACCACAAGGCACCACUUGUCAAUUUUCCAGGGGACACCUUGACAUCAAAUCCUCUAUUUUUAUCGGAGGUUGCAUGACAACUAUCCAUGUUUGUAGAUCUGGUCUGGGAAAACCGGGGCCUACUCAAAUUGACCAAUGCGGUGCGAUUUGAAUGACAAAAUAUAUUUUUACAAUUGCAUCAUGUCUUGAAAAUGAUUAGAUUUAAGUAGUAUUCUUAUUUUCAUUUGUUGCUAUUGUUCUUUGAGUGGCAAAUACAUAUCCAUUAAUCUUCACCAGUCUCACUGCAAAAGCGCCAGAACAAUGCCCCUACAAAACACAGAUUGUGCGGAGCAAUACAAAAAUUGAUGAUCAAAACAUUUCAACCACCAAACAACAACAACCACUUCGGAUCAGUCAAAUUGGGUCCAUUUGGCAAUCAAAAGGAGAGCAGUUAACCUUAUAAGAAAAACAUAUUCCAGUGCCCUGUGGGCCUGCUAUAAAGCAACAUCUAGAAAUAUCUCAACACGUCUACCUCUGCAGUCGAUUUUUUCAAUAGAAGAACCGCCCCAAGUUGUAAGAGGCGACUAUAUUUUUUCUUCACACCCAUUAUCCUGUUUUGAAAGGUCGGCUAAGACAGAAGACUUGCAUACCGGUCCAUUUUUGAGUUAAAGAAAAAUGUAAAGCGCCUGAGAGGCAAAAUAAUUAUUUUACAUGUAAUAUAGAAGAAAAUACAUCUGCAGCUGAUGUUUUUGUGUAGUAUUUUUUGCACUGGUUUUGUGCAGCAUUGUUGCCGCUAUUUUUAAUUUUUUAAUUCAACUUAAAAACAAGUUUAACUCUAAUUAUCCUGUUCAACAAGCAAAUGCUUUGUUUGAUGAAACCCAAGAAUAAAAGGCACUGAGAAUUAUCAGCAAAGCCGUGAAACACACACACACAAUAUAUGCACAGCCCCAUGCUUUGCACAACUGCUGUAUCAGCAGAGAAGAUGAGGAGGAUGCCAAGAGACGCACAUGCAGCUUUGACGAGGAUCAGCUGCCACAGAUAGGCAGGCAGGCCAAGAAGGCAGCGUGUGCCCUUGAGGUGCUGUGUGCAGGCAGGGUGGUUUGCUUGGCUUGUCUGAAUCCACCUCCUUCAUCUUUUGCACUUGGGUUGAGUUGGGUGUUGAUGUCCCAGGGACCCCCUGCCAACCCUGUAAUGUUUUAUACUGGCAGCCAAACAUCAGAGAAUUUUUUUGAAGGAGACAAUGUGGCCAAAAAAAAAGUACCUUUGUAUUUUUUUUUUAAUCUGUGGAAAACACUGAGGGGAGUUGCUGACUUAUAGCAACUUUGCAGAGAUUUCAACUGUCCGACCGGAUAAAUCAGCAAAUUAAUUUAGAAUAAAUCCUGGAUCCUAAAGUAUGUUGUUGGUUUUCUUUUGCUGUGUUGAGAAGAUAACAACCCCAUUGAAGAUUUUACUGAGGCAGUCGGACAUCCUUGCUGUCUUAAAUGACAACAGCUGUUCUGUGCAGCCUACACAUUCAUGUCGGACCCCGGAAUACCUUUCAUGCUUGUCAACAAGCUUUAUAGUUUCCGAGAAAUGCAAUACGAUAAUGCCUUUCUGGGGGAAGGAGUGUCAGGUAUGGCAGGAGUAAUGGAGAAAGGGCUUGAAGUGCAGGUAACCCAGGUUAGGCCGGGUGUAAAGGGGAUCCGAUAAGGCGUUCCCCAGACCCUACAGGCUCCCAGUCUCUACGCGAGAAUAAUAAGCAGCUGUAACCCUGAGACACUCCCAGGCCUGUGUCCUCAGCUACAAAAAACUUUCACCGUGCGUCUUAUCAGGUUCUAAGGAUAUCACGUAAGACAAUACAUGUGAGAAGUGCAGCGCGAACAAUGGAAGGAAAGUGCAGCGUGAUACGAGGGGGACUAAUGUCAGCGACUAUUGUUGAGGCCUUUGUCAGCGUCAAGUACACACCGGGAACUCACAGCUCACUGAACUCCUUUCAGUCAAGGAUCUUGCUUUAAGAUGUGAUAAAACACGACAAGUGUGCCGUCCCACAGUGAAGGCAGAUUUUACACACAUAAGUUAUGUGUUUCUGUCACAGAAAACAUGCCGCCAACAGGUAGUUGUAAGAUCUCCUCUGGCUGGGAAAAAGGAUUUAGUUUCACUUGUUGUUUCUACAAGAGAAGUUGCUGUAGAAGUUGUUGUGUUACACAGUAUGUGGUCAAGUUUCCCCAACGUUACCUCAUGGACCUUUGAUGUGAUAAUAUGUAAUAAAAAGGAAAUGUUAACAAAGCUCAUCAUGAAAUGUCUUUACAGUUUUUUCAUUAUUGUCUCUCUUUCUCUCGUUAGGUAAACAAGUCAUCCUGAUCAACAAGAGUUUUCAUCGGAAUAGGAGCAUCAAGACACUUAACAUUACUCUGCAACCCUUGAACCUGCACUGUACUUUCCAUUGCUGUUUUUCUGUCAAUUGGUUGCAUACUCCUGCACUACUGGUCAAACAGACUAAUCCUGUGACCAUGCACUAACUGUAACAACCAAUUGUGUUUUAUAUUUUGUUAUUCUAAAUGGGAGAAUACUUAGAAUAAAAAUAUUUCUCACGUUCAAACCCAUUUUCUUUUCAUGUAAUUAUUUGAGUCUAAAAAGUAUAUAUUUUUGGCAGCUUAAUAAAAGCCUUUUCUUCUUUUAACUGAUGUUUUAGUGUGAGUUAUUUCUCUCCUUUCUGUGUAGUGGGUGUGCACUCCAAGUAAAAAACAAUGUGCUUGACAUAAUUGGGUCCUAUUUGGCUAUGAAAAGAGCACGCGUGCUGAUAAAAGCUGGAAGGGUGAUCAAAGCACAAUGCGUCCCGAUCGACAUCAUACGCAUGACAUGGUUGUAGUUUAUCCUGACAGAUUAAUGAAACGUGAGGAAACAGGGGAAACAGGUUCAGACAGUUUCCAAGAAGCCUUCCUGUUCAUAAUCAGCUCCUUUUUAUAUUUUGUGCACGUCCUCUGACUAACAAAUAAAAUGUGCCUGUGUGUGCAUAACAUGGAACAAUUAAAAAACUGCAAUGAUUGGAUGCAUAUUCUCUGCACCUCCUUGUGUUGCCAUUUCCUCUCUGUCAGGUUUAAGUUUGAUCAAAGAAAAGUAGGACAAUUUCUGUGUAGUAUUCAUGGCAAAGUUUUCCUUAAAAAAAUGUAAACUGUAAGACGAAUAAAAAGUAGGAUCCUUUGGGACAGCAGCCUCAUUUGUCUCCCUUUUCUAUCUUUCAUUAGACUCAUCUUUUUUGACCUCUUCAUUUUCCUUUUUCCCUAAUCGCAUUUGUUUUCUGUCUCUUCCUCUUUAACAUUCAUUCUCCCUAUUUUUCUCACGCUAACUCGAUCUGUAUUUCCUUUACCAGCAUCACUCUUCCCUCCUUUCCUACAGCUGUCUUCGGUCCUGUCUGCCACCCUGGGUCUUCUCCCGCCCUCACCCAUUCUCUCUCGCUCCCUCCCUUGUCUUUCUCUCCCUCUCAGAUGUCAGAUCACAGUCUACUCUUCCGCUUGCCCUGUCAUCACAUUUUUCACACAGGCCCAUCCCUUAAGUAGGUCUGUAUCAUCAUAUCAUAUCAUGUAGAAUAUCUGAUCACAGCAAGAGAUGAAAGAUGGCCUCCACCUCUGUCUCCCCUCCCCCCACAGAGAGACCGACACACAAACGUACACACACGCUAGACUCCAGAAGCGCACACAUGUCAAUGGUCGUGUUGGACGUGAAUUUGAGCCUGACGGCUGGGUCCUGUGUUCAUUUCUACCCACCGUGUUUGCACCAAGUUGUCCAUGUGAUUGUUACAGCGUGGCAGGUGAGAUGGUGUGUAUUCCAAGAUGGUCCACUGAUGUUUGCAUCUCCUGCUGGUGGCUUUUGUCAUGAGGCAAAGGAUGCCCUGAAGCCAGCAGUGUCACAUCUACAGGUAACUAGCAAAAGGAAAAGGGAAGCGUCAACCUAAAGUGUCUCGGGAGUACAAAAAUAACUCCAACAUGUCUUGGUGUCAACUUGAAGGAUGCAGCACAAAACCCUUUUGAAGAUAUCCAGCAUUUUCUGCUGCUGACAGAAAAUGGUUCAAAAGUGCUGAGACGAUUAGCCUUACAAUGAAAUAGCUGAUCAAGCCUUUAUCUAUUCAAGUUAGACUAUUCAUCCCCACCCUCUGCAAGGCCUUUAGAAAUACCCAUUAUUUUCCAAAAAAAAGGCAAAGAUGUGUGUUUAUGCGUAAUUGUAUAAUUGUAUUCACAGAAUACAAGCAGUUGCUUGUGGAGAAACAUGUGUCAGUGCAGUACAGUAUGGUUUGUCACUAAGUGGGUCUGAAGGCCUGGACAAAGUAUACAAAUUCAAAAUGUGCGUAGAUGAAGUUUUUUUAAGAAGGUAUCAGUAUUCAAAAACCAAAUGCAGUCUGAAUGUUUCUAUACGAUAUCCACCCAUUAACAAAGUUGCACAGUAGUGCUGUGAAAUAACCCCUCCCAAAUGCUCAAAUGCCCACAUUACUGUAGAUUGACAGAAAUAGCGGACUCACAAUAUUACAGUUCUGUAUCUGGAUGAAUACAACACUUAUAUAUAUAUAUAUGAAUAGGUCACUUGCUUAAACACUACAUCUAGAUACAUCUUUCAGUACAAUUGGAUUAAGCCGAAAGCAUUUGGGAAAACAUUAAGACUUCAGACGACACUUACUCACCAUUGAUACCCUGAAGGCGGUAAGAAUGCAUGCACAAAUUCUACUAUUAAAGUUUAGAUGUUUAAAAAAAAAAAGGUUGUUUUCGUUGAAGGUGAUUUUUGGCCAUGGAACAUGACCUUGAAGCUGCUGUUAAAGAAAAGUAAAGAAUAAAACUUCUAAACUCUAUUAUACAAUAGAACAUUUUUGCUUCUUUCUUUGUCUCCUUUCUAUUAUUUUUCCACUAGACGGCACACUAUUUCUCUUUUAUCUACAGACAGCACACUUUGUGUUAUCUUAUUUUGUUUGGGAGAAGAUUCACAAGUACUAUCUGCCCCAUGAUCCCAACAGACGAAAAGAUACAGAGCUCCAAGUCUGGAAACUUCCCAGCGAGAGAAAUUAGGUCUUACUGAACCUUUGGUGUGUCUUUAAAAUCUCUGGUUAAAGAAGAUCUGUAACCCAAUGAAGCUGCAGGCUGCAUAGUGUUCAAGCUCUAUCAAAUGUGUUAUAAAGUGCAGAUUUUAAUAAACCAGCUUGUUUGACAGCACAACUGAAAUCUCCUGCAGGAAUUGGGCUUUUCAUUGGAUUAUUCAAGGUUGUUGGGGUUAACUGGGUUUACUGUAAAAUUAAAAGUUUUCAAAAGAAAAAAGUCAGAAAUAAAAUGUGUUUCACUUACUUUUCUAUCGUAUGAGAUACAACAACUUAAAUAUCCAAUUCUGCAAAUCACCUCUUGCAGCUCGGCGGCUAGGCACCGAUAGCAGCCAGCAAGGCCACUAGCCGCACAGCGUCAGAGAUCGACCCGCUAGUGUGCACUAGAUGUUGAAAUAGUGCAUCAUAUUUUGGGUUACAUAGUGACAAACGGGUCACUACAAAACAACAAUGGUUGUUUUAACCAUCACCUCUCCCCACUCAUCAGAGAAAGUUGUUGUAAUGUUUUGUCAAGCAUUAGGUAAACUGCAGAUCAGGUUCUGUAUUUGGUCUGUGGGGUUCUUUUAUAUUCAAUCCUGUACCUGAUCCAGGUAAAUUUGUG
Long non-coding RNA from Gasterosteus aculeatus aculeatus (three-spined stickleback), 6918 nucleotides. Lineage: Eukaryota; Metazoa; Chordata; Actinopteri; Perciformes; Gasterosteidae. The record is from Ensembl.